Molecule: long non-coding RNA, 246 nt
Filed under: Phoenix dactylifera (date palm)
Lineage: Eukaryota; Viridiplantae; Streptophyta; Magnoliopsida; Arecales; Arecaceae
Description: long non-coding RNA (PDAC_LNC011726)
Source: RNAcentral
AUGAUUAAAGAAGAAUGCAUCUUUUGAGGGGGAGCUUUAGAUAUUCAGUAUCUUAUCCUAAAGUUACUUUAAUUUGAUGCAUACCUUGAAUUUUAUGGAUUGAUUUUGAUGAACCUCCUUAUAUUGCAAGACUUGCUUUAAUUAUAUAAUAAGUUUAUACCUUGAGAUGAGUUCUAUAAAGGUUGUCUUAUCUCAAACCUUGAGUCUUAUGAAAAUAAGCUGAAACUUAUAGAAAAUAUAUUUUCN